ACCCUUUUGGCAUAGUGGUUAAGUGUUCGGCUGCUAACCGAAAGGCUGGCAGUUCAAAUCUACCAGGUA
Molecule: transfer RNA, 69 nt
Filed under: Loxodonta africana (African savanna elephant)
Lineage: Eukaryota; Metazoa; Chordata; Mammalia; Proboscidea; Elephantidae
Rfam family: tRNA
About the family: Transfer RNA (tRNA) molecules are approximately 80 nucleotides in length.
Source: Rfam by way of RNAcentral